This 500-nucleotide ribosomal RNA is filed under the name uncultured bacterium. RNAcentral describes it as "partial 16S ribosomal RNA". It matches the Rfam family "Bacterial small subunit ribosomal RNA", at positions 30 to 523 of the family's 1533-position model. The record is from RNAcentral.
AUUGAACGCUGGCGGCAGGCCUAACACAUGCAAGUCGAGCGGAUGACGGGAGCUUGCUCCUUGAUUCAGCGGCGGACGGGUGAGUAAUGCCUAGGAAUCUGCCUGGUAGUGGGGGACAACGUUUCGAAAGGAACGCUAAUACCGCAUACGUCCUACGGGAGAAAGCAGGGGAACUUCAGGCCGUGCGCUAUCAGAUGAGCCUAGGUCGGAUUAGCUAGUUGGUGAGGUAAUGGCUCACCAAGGCGACGAUCCGUAACUGGUCUGAGAGGAUGAUCAGUCACACUGGAACGGAGACACGGUCCAGACUCCUACGGGAGGCAGCAGUGGGGAAUAUUGGACAAUGGGCGAAAGCCUGAUCCAGCCAUGCCGCGUGUGUGAAGAAGGUCUUCGGAUUGUAAAGCACUUUAAGUUGGGAGGAAGGGCAGUAAGUUAAUACCUUGCUGUUUUGACGUUACCGACAGAAUAAGCACCGGCUAACUCUGUGCCAGCCGCCGCAGUAA